GUCAGGGGUGAGGAAAUCCCUUAAACCAUUGUGAACGUUACCCUUAACCCGUUGCUUCGGCGGGCGGCGCCAUGCCGUUUCCUCGGCCCUUCCCGGGCGCCCGCCGGAGGAUACCCAACUCUUGAUAUUUUAUGGCCACUCUGAGUCUUCUGUACUGAAUAAGUCAAAACUUUCAACAACGGAUCUCUUGGUUCUGGCAUCGAUGAAGAACGCAGCGAAAUGCGAUAAGUAAUGUGAAUUGCAGAAUUCAGUGAAUCAUCGAAUCUUUGAACGCACAUUGCGCCCGCCAGUAUUCUGGCGGGCAUGCCUGUUCGAGCGUCAUUUCAACCAUCAAGCCCCCGGCUUGUGUUGGGGACCUGCGGCUGCCCGCAGGCCCUGAAAAACAGUGGCGGGCUCGCUGUCACACCGAGCGUAGUAGCAUCAUUCUCGCUCAGGGCGUGCUGCGGGUUCCGGCCGUUAAACGACCUUCAUAACCCAAGGUUGACCUCGGAUCAGGUAGGAAGACCCGCUGAACUUAAGCAUAUCAAUAAGCGGAGGAACU
RNAcentral lists this ribosomal RNA (541 nucleotides) under Amesomyces atrobrunneus. RNAcentral's name for it is "eukaryotic LSU rRNA". The stretch from base 168 to 321 matches the Rfam family "5.8S ribosomal RNA". Lineage: Eukaryota; Fungi; Ascomycota; Sordariomycetes; Sordariales; Chaetomiaceae. The record is from RNAcentral.